CUUUCGUUUAAUAUUUACUUUAUAGAAAUGGUUUAGCGUCGUCAGAAAAAGUCCGUUAGCAUCUCAAAGGUAAGGCUAACUACAAGAGGUAACGAUAGACAUGAGCUCUUAUUUAUUAAGCUUGGGCUUUUAAUGUCAUCUUGUGUGUAGAUGAGCUCUCUCUCUCUCUCUCUCUCUCUCCAUAUAGAUCAAUGGAUGAAUGGAAGUAACCAAAUUAAUUUAACCCUAAAAGUAUCCACUGUUUAAUCCUAAAAUGUGCACUAACGUAACCUAUAACGUUACAUCACUUACAUAGAGCGUGAAAAUGGACUGAAACCUUCAGGUUUUGAUCUUUCAUGGUAAACACAUAAAUACAAACUUGUUCUGUGAUUUCAGAAGUGCCAGAAAAAAACCUCUAUGACGCAGGAGAAGUUCCUGAUUUUAAUUUCUGAAGGGAGCUGCUGACAGAGAGGAUGAAAACAUACACAUUUUGAUGUCCACGCUGUAGGAGCAUUACUAAAUAAGUUCUUCCAUGCUGAUGGCUGUGCUCUAGUCAUAUCUCCUGUCGAAGAACAUUUUUAGACAUUAUGAACCAUGAAUAAGUUUAGCUCCAACCCCAGUUAAGCGGACCUGAGCAGCUGAUCAAGGAUCAGCAGAAACUCUGCAGAACGGUGGUCCUCCAGCCCAGGACUGGACACCAGUGUUUGUGUCUGUCUCAGAAGCUGAAGAAAAAAGGUCACACCUUAUAGGAAAUAAACGCCUCCUAAGUGUACGGAAAUACCUGGCUGAGGAGAUCAGUG
Long non-coding RNA from Carassius gibelio (silver crucian carp), 779 nucleotides. RefSeq lists it as uncharacterized. The record is from RefSeq and is a predicted model, not a curated record. Lineage: Eukaryota; Metazoa; Chordata; Actinopteri; Cypriniformes; Cyprinidae. The transcript has 4 exons.